CACCGCGGUUAUACGAGAGGCCCAAGUUGAAAGACACCGGCGUAAAGCGUGGUUAAAUUAAAAUUUUAACUAAAGUUAAACAUCUUCAAGACUGUUAUACGUAUCCGAAGACAGGAACCUCAAUCACGAAAGUAACUUUAUAUAAACUGAACCCACGAAAGCUAUAGCA
RNAcentral lists this ribosomal RNA (169 nucleotides) under Paraliparis garmani (pouty seasnail). Its description in RNAcentral is "partial small subunit ribosomal RNA". The record is from RNAcentral. Lineage: Eukaryota; Metazoa; Chordata; Actinopteri; Perciformes; Liparidae.